CUCAGAUUGAACGCUGGCGGCAGGCCUAACACAUGCAAGUCGAGCGGAUGACGGGAGCUUGCUCCUUGAUUCAGCGGCGGACGGGUGAGUAAUGCCUAGGAAUCUGCCUGGUAGUGGGGGACAACGUUUCGAAAGGAACGCUAAUACCGCAUACGUCCUACGGGAGAAAGCAGGGGACCUUCGGGCCUUGCGCUAUCAGAUGAGCCUAGGUCGGAUUAGCUAGUAGGUGAGGUAAUGGCUCACCUAGGCGACGAUCCGUAACUGGUCUGAGAGGAUGAUCAGUCACACUGGAACUGAGACACGGUCCAGACUCCUACGGGAGGCAGCAGUGGGGAAUAUUGGACAAUGGGCGAAAGCCUGAUCCAGCCAUGCCGCGUGUGUGAAGAAGGUCUUCGGAUUGUAAAGCACUUUAAGUUGGGAGGAAGGGCAGUAAGCUAAUACCUUGCUGUUUUGACGUUACCGACAGAAUAAGCACCGGCUAACUCUGUGCCAGCAGCCGCGGUAAUACGGCAGGGAUGCAAGCGUUAAUCGGAAUUACUGGGCGUAAAGCGCGCGCUAGGCUGGUUCGUUAAGUCUGGAUGUGAAAUCCCCGGGCUCAACCUGGGAACUGCAUUCGAAACUGGCAGAGCUAGAGUAUUGUAGAGGGUGGUGGAAUUUCAGGUGUAGCGGUGAAAUGCGUAGAUAUCUGGAAGGAAUACCGGUGGCGAAGGCGACCCCCUGGACAUGAUACUGACGCUCAUGUCGUCUUAGCGAUAAUGCGUGGGGAGCAAACAGGAUUAGAUACCCUGGUAGUCCACGCCGUAAACGAUGUCGACUUGGAGGUUGUGCCCUUGAGGUUUGGCUUCCGGAGCUAACGCGUUAAGUUGACCGCCUGGGGAGUACGGCCGCAAGGUUAAAACUCAAAUGAAUUGACGGGGGCCCGCACAAGCGGUGGAGCAUGUGGUUUAAUUCGAUGCAACGCGAAGAACCUUACCUACUCUUGACAUCCAGAGAACUUUCCAGAGAUGGAUUGGUGCCUUCGGGAACUCUGACACAGGUGCUGCAUGGCUGUCGUCAGCUCGUGUUGUGAAAUGUUGGGUUAAGUCCCGCAACGAGCGCAACCCUUAUCCUUUGUUGCCAGCGGUUUGGCCGGGAACUCAUAGGAAACUGCCAGUGAUCAACUGGAAGAAAGUGGGGAUGACCUCCAGUCAUCAUGGCCCUUACCAGUAUGGCUACACACGUGCUACAAUGGCGCAUACCAAGAGAAUCGACCUCGCGAGAGCGAGCGGACUUUAUCAAGUGCGUCGUAAUCCGGAUUGGAGUCUGCCACUCUCACUCGAUGAAGUCCGAAUCGCUAGUAAUCGUGGAUUCAGAAUUGCUUCGGUGUGAAUAUCGUUCCCGGGCCUUUGUACACACCCGCCCGGUCACACCAUGGG
Molecule: ribosomal RNA, 1415 nt
Filed under: Cedecea sp. RH-17
Lineage: Bacteria; Pseudomonadati; Pseudomonadota; Gammaproteobacteria; Enterobacterales; Enterobacteriaceae
Also listed under: 1 other name
Description: 16S ribosomal RNA
Rfam family: Bacterial small subunit ribosomal RNA
Source: RNAcentral